GACGAACGCUGGCGGCGUGCUUAACACAUGCAAGUCGUACGGUAAGGCCCUUUCGGGGGUACACGAGUGGCGAACGGGUGAGUAACACGUGAGUAACCUGCCCACAACUUUGGGAUAACGCUAGGAAACUGGUGCUAAUACUGGGUAUGUGCUCCUGCUGCAUGGUGGGGGUUGGAAAGCUCCGGCGGUUGUGGAUGGACUCGCGGCCUAUCAGCUUGUUGGUGGGGUAGUGGCCUACCAAGGCGGCGACGGGUAGCCGGCCUGAGAGGGUGACCGGCCACAUUGGGACUGAGAUACGGCCCAGACUCCUACGGGAGGCAGCAGUGGGGAAUAUUGCACAAUGGGCGCAAGCCUGAUGCAGCAACGCCGCGUGCGGGAUGACGGCCUUCGGGUUGCAAACCGCUUUCAGCAGGGACGAAGCUUUUUGUGACGGUACCUGCAGAAGAAGCACCGGCUAACUACGUG
Molecule: ribosomal RNA, 465 nt
Filed under: uncultured bacterium
Lineage: Bacteria
Description: partial 16S ribosomal RNA
Rfam family: Bacterial small subunit ribosomal RNA
Source: RNAcentral